UACGUAGGGGGCAAGCGUUGUCCGGAGUUACUGGGCGUAAAGCGCACGCAGGCGGUCUCUUAAGUUUGGAGUGACAGUUGGUGGCUUAACUGCCAAAGUGCUUCGAAAACUGAGAGACUUGAGGGCUUCAGAGGGACACGGAAUUCCGGGUGGAGUGGUGAAAUGCGUAGAGAUCCGGAGGAACACCAAAGGCGAAGGCGGGUCUCUGGGCCGAUACUGACGCUGAGGAGCGAAAGCGUGGGGAGCGAACAGG
This 253-nucleotide ribosomal RNA is filed under the name uncultured bacterium. Its description in RNAcentral is "partial 16S ribosomal RNA". It matches the Rfam family "Bacterial small subunit ribosomal RNA", at positions 524 to 776 of the family's 1533-position model. The record is from RNAcentral.